Molecule: ribosomal RNA, 503 nt
Filed under: uncultured bacterium
Lineage: Bacteria
Description: bacterial SSU rRNA
Rfam family: Bacterial small subunit ribosomal RNA
Source: RNAcentral
UCUGGCGUCAGGAUGAAGCCAGCGACAGGCUAACACAUGCAAGCAGGGGCAGCAUAAAGUAGCAAUACUUGGUGGCGACCGGCGCACGGGUGAGUAACGCGUAUGCAACCUACCUAUCAGAGGGGAAUAACCCGGCGAAAGUCGGACUAAUACCGCAUAAAACAGGGACACCGCAUGGUGAUAUUUGUUAAAGAAAUUCGCUGAUAGAUGGGCAUGCGUUCCAUUAGGUAGUUGGUGGGGUAACGGCUCACCAAGCCGACGAUGGAUAGGGGAACUGAGAGGUUGGUCCCCCACACUGGUACUGAGACACGGACCAGACUCCUACGGGAGGCAGCAGUGAGGAAUAUUGGUCAAUGGGCGAGAGCCUGAACCAGCCAAGUCGCGUGAAGGAAGAAGGAUCUAUGGUUCGUAAACUUCUUUUGCAGGGGAAUAAAGUGCAGGACGUGUCCUGUUUUGUAUCGUACCCUGAGAAUAAGGAUCGGCUACUCCGUGCCAGCCGCCGC